RNAcentral lists this small RNA (231 nucleotides) under Chrysemys picta bellii (western painted turtle). RNAcentral's name for it is "Metazoan signal recognition particle RNA (ENSCPBG00000004241.1)". The stretch from base 41 to 228 matches the Rfam family "Metazoan signal recognition particle RNA", at positions 73 to 269 of the family's 299-position model. From Rfam's summary of the family: The signal recognition particle (SRP) is a universally conserved ribonucleoprotein. Lineage: Eukaryota; Metazoa; Chordata; Testudines; Emydidae. The record is from RNAcentral.
GGGGCCGGGGCCCGGUGGAGCUCAAAAUAUGGUAACCCUAAGUUCUGGGCUGCCGGGGGCUGUGCCGAGCGGAUGUCCACACUGAGUUCGGUAUCGAUAUGGGGAUCACUGGGGGUCCCCAGGUUGCCUAAGGAGGGGUGAACCGGCCCAGAUCGGAAACGGAGCAGGUCAAAACUCCCGCGCCGAUCAGUAGUGGGAUCGCGCCUGUGAACAGCCCCUGUGGCAUAGCCU